AGAGUUUGAUCAUGGCUCAGAAUGAACGCUGGCGGCACGCUUAACACAUGCAAGUCGAACGAGAUCUUCGGAUCUAGUGGCAGACGGGUGAGUAACGCGUGGGAACCUGCCCAGUAGUAGAGGACAACUUGGGGAAACUUAAGCUAAUACUUUAUACGUCCUUCGGGAGAAAGCUUUAUGCGCUAUUGGAUGGGCCCGCGUUAGAUUAGUUUGUUGGUGAGGUAAUGGCUCACCAAGACUACGAUCUAUAGCUGGUCUGAGAGGAUGAUCAGCCACACUGGGACUGAGACACGGCCCAGACUCCUACGGGAGGCAGCAGUGGGGAAUAUUGGACAAUGGGGGCAACCCUGAUCCAGCGAUGCCGCGUGAGUGAUGAAGGCCCUAGGGUUGUAAAACUCUUUCGUCAGGGAAGAUAAUGACGGUACCUGAAGAAGAAGAUCCGGCUAACUCCGUGCCAGCAGCCGCGGUAAUACGGAGGGAUCUAGCGUUAUUCGGAAUUACUGGGCGUAAAGCGAGCGUAGGCGGAUUUGUAAGUUGGAGGUGAAAUCCCAGAGCUUAACUCUGGAACUGCCUUCAAAACUACAUUUCUUGAGUUUGGUAGAGGAGAGUGGAAUUCCUAGUGUAGAGGUGAAAUUCGUAGAUAUUAGGAGGAACACCAGUGGCGAAGGCGACUCUCUGGGCCAAUACUGACGCUGAGGUUCGAAAGCAUGGGUAGCGAACAGGAUUAGAUACCCUGGUAGUCCAUGCAGUAAACGAUGAGUGCUAGAUGUUGGGAAUUUAAAUUUCCAGUAUCGCAGUUAACGCGUUAAGCACUCCGCCUGGGAAGUACGGCCGCAAGGCUAAAACUCAAAUGAAUUGACGGGGACCCGCACAAGCGGUGGAUCAUGUGGUUUAAUUCGAAGAUACGCGAAGAACCUUACCGGCCCUUGACAUACCAAUCGCGGACUUAAGAGAUUAAGUCUUUCACUUCGGGUGGAUUGGAUACAGGUGCUGCAUGGCUGUCGUCAGCUCGUGUCGU
RNAcentral lists this ribosomal RNA (1018 nucleotides) under marine metagenome. RNAcentral's name for it is "bacterial SSU rRNA". It matches the Rfam family "Bacterial small subunit ribosomal RNA", at positions 8 to 1068 of the family's 1533-position model. The record is from RNAcentral.